RNAcentral lists this ribosomal RNA (253 nucleotides) under uncultured bacterium. RNAcentral's name for it is "partial 16S ribosomal RNA". It matches the Rfam family "Bacterial small subunit ribosomal RNA", at positions 524 to 776 of the family's 1533-position model. The record is from RNAcentral.
UACGUAGGGUGCAAGCGUUGUCCGGAAUUAUUGGGCGUAAAGAGCUCGUAGGCGGUUUGUCGCGUCUGCUGUGAAAACUCGGGGCUUAACCCCGGGCCUGCAGUGGGUACGGGCAGACUAGAGUGCGGUAGGGGAGACUGGAAUUCCUGGUGUAGCGGUGAAAUGCGCAGAUAUCAGGAGGAACACCGGUGACGAAGGCGGGUCUCUGGACAGUGACUGACGCUGAGACGCGAAAGCGUGGGGAGCAAACAGG